Molecule: ribosomal RNA, 872 nt
Filed under: uncultured bacterium
Lineage: Bacteria
Description: bacterial SSU rRNA
Rfam family: Bacterial small subunit ribosomal RNA
Source: RNAcentral
AAUGAACGCUGGCGGCGUGCUUUACACAUGCAAGUUGAGCGAGGCCAGGGGGCAACCCCUGAGUCGAGCGGCGAACGGGUGAGUAACGCGUGGAUAACCUGCCCUGAGGUGGGGAACAACCAGGGGAAACUCUGGCUGAUACCGCAUGAUACCGAGAGGUCAAAGGGGGCUCGCAAGGGCUCUCGCCACAGGAGGGGUCCGCGUCCGAUUAGCUAGUUGGUAGGGUAAUGGCCUACCAAGGCGACGAUCGGUAGCCGGCCUGAGAGGGUGAUCGGCCACACUGGAACUGAGACACGGUCCAGACUCCUACGGGAGGCAGCAGUGGGGAAUUUUGCGCAAUGGGCUAACGCCUGACGCAGCAACGCCGCGUGGAGGAUGAAGGUCUUUGGAUUGUAAACUCCUGUCGACCGGGAAAAAGCAACUCGACCUAACACGUCGGGAAGUUGAUUGUACCGGUGGAGGAAGCCCCGGCUAACUCUGUGCCAGCAGCCGCGGUAAUACAGAGGGGGCAAGCGUUAUUCGGAAUUAUUGGGCGUAAAGGGCGCGUAGGCGGCUUGGCAAGUGGAAGGUGAAAUCCCUCGGCCUAACCGAGGAACUGCCCUCCAAACUGCUUGGCUUGAGACCGGGAGAGGUGAGUGGAAUUCCCAGUGUAGCGGUGAAAUGCGUAGAUAUUGGGAGGAACACCAGUGGCGAAGGCGGCUCACUGGACCGGUACUGACGCUGAUGCGCGAAAGCGUGGGGAGCAAACGGGAUUAGAUACCCCGGUAGUCCACGCCGUAAACGAUGAGUGCUUGGUGUAGCGGGUAUCGACCCCUGCUGUGCCGAAGUCAACACAUUAAGCACUCCGCCUGGGGAGUACGGUCGCAAGGCUG